GAUGAAGAACGAAGCGAAAUGCGAUAAGUAGUGUGAAUUGCAGAAUUCAGUGAAUCAUCGAAUCUUUGAACGCACAUUGCGCCUUCUAGUAUUCUGGGAGGCAUGCCUGUUUGAGCGUCAUUAAACCUCUCUCAAGUAUGAUUACUUGGAUGUGAAGGAAGAGUACCUUAAACUUAAGGAGUGUUCUCCUUUGAAAUUGAUUAGCAGAUGGUAAUGUUAUUAAAUCCCUGAUGUUGUAAGAAAUAACAGUGGUUUUGUAGACUAUUAUCUAGCUUUAAAUUAUAAUUUUUAUUAUGGUUGACCUCAAAUCAGGUAAGGAUACCCGCUGAACUUAAGCAUAUCAAUAAGCGGAGGA
This 355-nucleotide unclassified non-coding RNA is filed under the name soil metagenome. RNAcentral's name for it is "partial contains 5.8S ribosomal RNA, internal transcribed spacer 2, and large subunit ribosomal RNA". The stretch from base 1 to 120 matches the Rfam family "5.8S ribosomal RNA", at positions 35 to 154 of the family's 154-position model. The record is from RNAcentral.